RNAcentral lists this ribosomal RNA (253 nucleotides) under uncultured bacterium. Its description in RNAcentral is "partial 16S ribosomal RNA". It matches the Rfam family "Bacterial small subunit ribosomal RNA", at positions 524 to 776 of the family's 1533-position model. The record is from RNAcentral.
UACGUAGGGUGCAAGCGUUGUCCGGAAUUAUUGGGCGUAAAGAGCUCGUAGGCGGUCUGUUGCGUCGGCUGUGAAAACCCGGGGCUCAACCCCGGGCCUGCAGCCGAUACGGGCAGACUAGAGUUCGGCAGGGGAGACUGGAAUUCCUGGUGUAGCGGUGAAAUGCGCAGAUAUCAGGAGGAACACCGGUGGCGAAGGCGCCACUCUGGGCCGGUACUGACGCUGAGGAGCGAAAGCGUGGGUAGCAAACAGG